UUAAGCGACUAAGCGUACACGGUGGAUGCCCUGGCAGUCAGAGGCGAUGAAGGACGUGCUAAUCUGCGAAAAGCGUCGGUAAGGUGAUAUGAACCGUUAUAACCGGCGAUGUCCGAAUGGGGAAACCCAGUGCAAUUCGUUGCACUAUCGUUAACUGAAUACAUAGGUUAACGAGGCGAACCGGGGGAACUGAAACAUCUAAGUACCCCGAGGAAAAGAAAUCAACCGAGAUUCCCCCAGUAGCGGCGAGCGAACGGGGAGCAGCCCAGAGUCUGAAUCAGCUUGUGUGUUAGUGGAACGGUCUGGAAAGUCCGACGGUACAGGGUGAUAGUCCCGUACACCAAAAUGCACAGGUUGUGAACUCGAAGAGUAGGGCGGGACACGUGGUAUCCUGUCUGAAUAUGGGGGGACCAUCCUCCAAGGCUAAAUACUCCUGACUGACCGAUAGUGAACCAGUACCGUGAGGGAAAGGCGAAAAGAACCCCGGCGAGGGGAGUGAAAAAGAACCUGAAACCGUGUACGUACAAGCAGUGGGAGCACCUUCGGGUGUGACUGCGUACCUUUUGUAUAAUGGGUCAGCGACUUAUAUUCUGUAGCAAGGUUAACCGUAUAGGGGAGCCGCAGGGAAACCGAGUCUUAACUGGGCGUUAAGUUGCAGGGUAUAGACCCGAAACCCGGUGAUCUAGCCAUGGGCAGGUUGAAGGUUGGGUAACACUAACUGGAGGACCGAACCGACUAAUGUUGAAAAAUUAGCGGAUGACUUGUGGCUGGGGGUGAAAGGCCAAUCAAACCGGGAGAUAGCUGGUUCUCCCCGAAAGCUAUUUAGGUAGCGCCUCGUGAACUCAUCUUCGGGGGUAGAGCACUGUUUCGGCUAGGGGGUCAUCCCGACUUACCAACCCGAUGCAAACUACGAAUACCGAAGAAUGUUAUCACGGGAGACACACGGCGGGUGCUAACGUCCGUCGUGAAGAGGGAAACAACCCAGACCGCCAGCUAAGGUCCCAAAGUCAUGGUUAAGUGGGAAACGAUGUGGGAAGGCACAGACAGCCAGGAUGUUGGCUUAGAAGCAGCCAUCAUUUAAAGAAAGCGUAAUAGCUCACUGGUCGAGUCGGCCUGCGCGGAAGAUGUAACGGGGCUAAACCAUGCACCGAAGCUGCGGCAGCGACACUAUGUGUUGUUGGGUAGGGGAGCGUUCUGUAAGCCUGCGAAGGUGACCUGUGAGGGUUGCUGGAGGUAUCAGAAGUGCGAAUGCUGACAUAAGUAACGAUAAAGCGGGUGAAAAGCCCGCUCGCCGGAAGACCAAGGGUUCCUGUCCAACGUUAAUCGGGGCAGGGUGAGUCGACCCCUAAGGCGAGGCCGAAAGGCGUAGUCGAUGGGAAACAGGUUAAUAUUCCUGUACUUGGUGUUACUGCGAAGGGGGGACGGAGAAGGCUAUGUUAGCCGGGCGACGGUUGUCCCGGUUUAAGCAUGUAGGCUGAUUGUCCAGGCAAAUCCGGAUAAUCAAGGCUGAGGUGUGAUGACGAGGCACUACGGUGCUGAAGUAACAAAUGCCCUGCUUCCAGGAAAAGCCUCUAAGCAUCAGGUAACAUCAAAUCGUACCCCAAACCGACACAGGUGGUCAGGUAGAGAAUACCAAGGCGCUUGAGAGAACUCGGGUGAAGGAGCUAGGCAAAAUGGUGCCGUAACUUCGGGAGAAGGCACGCUGGUGUGUAGGUGAAGCCCCUGCGGGUGGAGCUGAGACCAGUCGAAGAUACCAGCUGGCUGCAACUGUUUAUUAAAAACACAGCACUGUGCAAACACGAAAGUGGACGUAUACGGUGUGACGCCUGCCCGGUGCCGGAAGGUUAAUUGAUGGGGUUAUCCGUAAGGAGAAGCUCUUGAUCGAAGCCCCGGUAAACGGCGGCCGUAACUAUAACGGUCCUAAGGUAGCGAAAUUCCUUGUCGGGUAAGUUCCGACCUGCACGAAUGGCGUAAUGAUGGCCAGGCUGUCUCCACCCGAGACUCAGUGAAAUUGAACUCGCUGUGAAGAUGCAGUGUACCCGCGGCAAGACGGAAAGACCCCGUGAACCUUUACUAUAGCUUGACACUGAACAUUGAGCCUUGAUGUGUAGGAUAGGUGGGAGGCUUUGAAGCGUGGACGCCAGUCUGCGUGGAGCCAACCUUGAAAUACCACCCUUUAAUGUUUGAUGUUCUAACGUUGGCCCCUGACCGGGGUUGCGGACAGUGUCUGGUGGGUAGUUUGACUGGGGCGGUCUCCUCCCAAAGCGUAACGGAGGAGCACGAAGGUUAGCUAAUCCUGGUCGGACAUCAGGAGGUUAGUGCAAUGGCAUAAGCUAGCUUGACUGCGAGCGUGACGGCGCGAGCAGGUGCGAAAGCAGGUCAUAGUGAUCCGGUGGUUCUGAAUGGAAGGGCCAUCGCUCAACGGAUAAAAGGUACUCCGGGGAUAACAGGCUGAUACCGCCCAAGAGUUCAUAUCGACGGCGGUGUUUGGCACCUCGAUGUCGGCUCAUCACAUCCUGGGGCUGAAGUAGGUCCCAAGGGUAUGGCUGUUCGCCAUUUAAAGUGGUACGCGAGCUGGGUUUAGAACGUCGUGAGACAGUUCGGUCCCUAUCUGCCGUGGGCGCUGGAGAAUUGAGGGGGGCUGCUCCUAGUACGAGAGGACCGGAGUGGACGCAUCACUGGUGUUCGGGUUGUCAUGCCAAUGGCACUGCCCGGUAGCUAAAUGCGGAAGAGAUAAGUGCUGAAAGCAUCUAAGCACGAAACUUGCCCCGAGAUGAGUUCUCCCUGAGACUUUAAGUCUCCUGAAGGAACGUUGAAGACGACGACGUUGAUAGGCCGGGUGUGUAAGCGCAGCGAUGCGUUGAGCUAACCGGUACUAAUGAACCGUGAGGCUUAACCUU
This 2900-nucleotide ribosomal RNA is filed under the name Klebsiella pneumoniae. Its description in RNAcentral is "bacterial LSU rRNA". It matches the Rfam family "Bacterial large subunit ribosomal RNA". Lineage: Bacteria; Pseudomonadati; Pseudomonadota; Gammaproteobacteria; Enterobacterales; Enterobacteriaceae. The record is from RNAcentral.